This 240-nucleotide ribosomal RNA is filed under the name uncultured bacterium. RNAcentral describes it as "partial 16S ribosomal RNA". It matches the Rfam family "Bacterial small subunit ribosomal RNA", at positions 15 to 244 of the family's 1533-position model. The record is from RNAcentral.
GAUCAUGGCUCAGGAUGAACGCUAGCUACAGGCUUAACACAUGCAAGUCGGGGGGAAACGACAUCGAAAGCUUGCUUUUGAUGGGCGUCGACCGGCGCACGGGUGAGUAACGCGUAUCCAACCUGCCCAUCACUUGGGAAUAACCUUGCGAAAGUAAGACUAAUACCCAAUGAUAUCCCACGAAGGCAUCCGAAUGGGAUUAAAGAUUUAUCGGUGAUGGAUGGGGAUGCGUCUGAUUAG